GAGCAAGGGUGAAUGUCUUAAAAUGUUAUUGUAUCAUGCACAUCAGUUUACCAUGGGCUUCUGUUCAAAAUUCUUCAGUAUCUGCUUCUUUCUUUAUCCAUACGGAGAAGAGCUCUCUUGGUGUCUGAAUUCCACACUGCCUCAGGGCCUUUGCACAUACUUUCUUCUGCCUGGAAUGCUCUUCACAGAGCUGAUUCCUUCUCAUCCUUAAAGUUCAGCUUAAAGAUUCUGUUCUCAUAGUUUACCCUUUCUCGAAUACCUAUUCUUUGUUAUUCUCUAUCACGAUAUCCCAUUUUUCCUUUCAAAAAUUCACGUUUUAUUUAUUACUUUUUUUUUUUACUGUUUCCCUAUUAGAUUAUGAGUUCAAUUUGGGUAAGACCUAUAUGUAUUUUAUUCACGGUUGACUCCCCAGCACCUGAUAAACUGCCUGGAACAGAGAGGCACUCAAAGAUUUAUAAAAUGCAUAAAGAAACAAAAAGAAUCAAACAAUGUCAAAGUCUUUGGGCGGUAAUGCAUGUUAUAUAUCAUUUUCUGACUCUGAAUAUUUAGAACAAUUAUUUAUGUUACUAUUUGCACAAUUAAAAUAUAACUGUUCUGUGAAAAUUUCCCACUGUGGUCCCUAAUUAGUACUGCUCUUUAAUCUUUUGCCGAUCUGCCUCCUAAACCAGACUGUAAGCUCUUCAACGGCAGGGACCACUACCUUAAGUCCAUUCAUUCACUCAACAAAUGAGAGGCAGGCACCUCAGGGCUAUAGACAGAGAGCUGUAUAACACAGACAUGGUUCUUACCCUUUUGUGAACUUGGCUUGCCCUCACAGUCAUUAAUUUAAUCUACUUAGCAACUGUCCUUGCCAAACACUCUUGAGGACAAAAGAAACAUAACAAUUAACAAACAGGAAUUCCUGCCCUCCUGAGUUCACGUUCUUGUGUACAGGGGCUUAAAUGUGUAUGUUACAGUUUUCAGCCUCUAAAUUUGGCAUCGCCAACAUAUAUCUAAGAAUUUGAUGUCAAAACUUGUUAGGUUAGAAGAAGUUAGAUAAUUAUAUGUUUAUGAAAUUCAGUGCAAUUCUCCUUCAAACAUAGAGAAUGGCGAGAAUGCAAAAACAGAGAAUGGGAUAGCCCUAUAGCCUGAUUAUCAUGAUUUUUUUAACCCACUUAAACCAAUUCAAAAUUGGCCAAGUAAUUUUUUUGACCUAAUCCACCCUACCAAUCUGAAUGAACUGUCUAUGCCUAGAAAUCUGCUUUAUGCCUAAGAUAAAUACUGGGAUUCAAAAGACGGAAAAAAGAGUGCCUGGGGUUGAGAAACUAGGUAAGAAAAAGAGAGGGACUCAACCCAAGCCUGCCCUUCAAAAGCUCUGGUAACGGACACCACAUUUCAGACAUGUGAUUUCAUUCACAAAGUAUUUUAAGUGGUUUAAUAUGCUGCACUGUCAGAUGACAAAGAGCAUUCUGGAUUUAAAAAAUAAAUAAAAACAUGCAGCCUAGUCUCCAGCAGAACUGAACUCCAACUAAGGGAUGAAACAGAAGAAAUGCUGUAUGUCUUGACUUGGACACAACUGAUGAGAGAUGGAAAACUGUCUGAGGAUUUCAAUCUAAUUCCUGGAUUUGAUAUCACCACAUGGAAUUCUUCAUCAUGUAAUCUGCUCUUUUCUGUAAUUGUCUUUCAGAAUCCCUAUGACGUGAAGGUUCUACCUAAUAAUCUCAGAAGAAAACUUUUUUACCUCAAAGAAUUGCCUUUCAUUCAAAGGUCAAAAUGAAUAUGUUAUAGUUUUAUAGUUUCUGUAACUAACACACCAACAAAGGAAGGAAGGAAGGGGGAAAAGAAGAAGGAAAGAAGUGGGGGAGGAAGGGAGGAGGGGAGGGAGAGAGGGAGGAAGGGAGAUAGAGUUCCAUUGCUGUUUUGAGCUUGGAGUCUUUGAAUGUCAAAGUUAGAGAAGCCAUCAUGCUCCUUCUUCAUUUUAUAAAUAAGAGAACUGAAAUCCUGAGAGACUGAAGGAUUUCCCUAAGUCAAGUUCAUGAGCAGCACAAGCAAGAUUUAGAUGAACUUUCUUCCAGAAAGAGCUAUUGUCUUUCUCCAGCUUGCUCCUCUGUGCUAGCCCUUCUUAAAGCACUCCCAACACAUUCUGCCAAUCUCCCUGAACCAGCAGGAACAGCAGAAGGAACAGGAAUCCAGGCUACUAAAGGACAGAGAACACAAAAGAGUCAAGUUUCACUGUGAUGCCAGCCUACUGUCCAGGGCUGAUGCUCAGAAAUCAAGACCUGCCACUGCCUAAAGAAUCAAAGUACACUUUUGGAAAUUCAUCCUGAUAAAGGUGAAACAUCUGACCCUGGGAACAACCACUGAAUAUUUCAACUGGAAAAGUCAACACUGCUAAUCACAGUUUUAUAGCAGGCAUGAAGCUCUCUACAAGGCCCUUGCUGAGCUGUUCCUGUAAAUCAAAACCUUACUCGGCUGUUCUUGUAGCUGGCAGUGGAACAGGGUUAGUUUUACCAUUUAUGGUUGCAAAGUCCAUCCAGAUUUUUUUUUUUUUUUUUUUUUUUUAGUUCUCCUUAGCUUUUUGUUUUUUCUCCACUCAACGCCCUCCCCCUCCUGCUGCCUUAAAAAUGUAUAUUCCAGGCUUAGCUAAAACAUGUCUGCAUAGAUUAUUUCAUUCCUUACCACGGUACAUUAAUAGAGGUGUCAAAAUGACAGAGGAUGCUUGGCUUCCACCCCUGUGUCCCAGACCCAUUCCUCAAGGGUAAGCUGCAGCUAUUUGGGAAAAGAUGAUAUGAUCUUUUGGGCUCCUGGAAGCUGACCCCCAAAGUCUAUUUGAAGUCUUAAAACACUUUCCAGUGAAAUAUAAAGUGGACAGGGCACUUAAACACAUCCUGUCUUGUCAGGCUACUCAACAUCAGCAUUGUCAUUGCCUUCAUGCCUGUGUCCAGGUGGGGACAGAGGGACCCCAGUCAUUUAACCCCAGAUGGGCUU
This is a non-coding RNA of Sus scrofa (pig), 2967 nucleotides long. The record is from RefSeq and is a predicted model, not a curated record. Lineage: Eukaryota; Metazoa; Chordata; Mammalia; Artiodactyla; Suidae.